AUUUUCCGGUGUAAAACACAUUAGUUCAAACCAUAUCGAACUGAUAUAUAAGGAAAUUUUAUAAGUUUUCAAUCGACCACUAGAAAUGUUAGUCCUAAUAUUAGCGGUUCUUAGUUUGGCUGAGGGUUUCCCUGCUGCAAAUCAUGUUAAUUUAUAUUCCAACUUAAAUGAAUCCCGGGCAGUAUCUAGAACCUCACAUUAUGCACACAGACAUCCCUGUCCAGCAACUGACCCGUGGCUGCGUCCCUGGCCAGCACCUGGCUCAUGGUGUAGCUGGCAAGUAGCUCAGCAGUGGCUGUGUCUUCGGCCGACACCUGCCCUGUGGCCGUAUCCCUGGCCAACACCUGGAAACAUAAAGCCAUAUCCCUUUGGACCUCAGAACCCUGCUGAUGUACCAUGGGCACCACCAUAUCCCUGGGGACCUCAGAACCCUAAAGAUGAACCAUGGGCACCACCAUAUCCAUGGGGACCUGAGAACGCUAAUAAUGAACCAUGGGCACCACCACAUCCCUCAGUACCUCAGAACCCUACUGACGUACCAUGGGCACCACCAUAUCCCUGGGGACCUCAGAACCCUAAUAAUGAACCAUGGGUACCACCAUAUCCCUGGGGACCUCAGAACCCUAAUAAUGAACCAUGGGCACCACCAUAUCCCUGGGGUCCUCAGAACCCUAAUGAUGAACCAUGGGCGCCACCACAUCCCUCAGGACCUCAGAAUCCUGCUGACGUACCAUGGGCACCAGCAUAUCCCUGGGGACCUCAGAACCCUAAUAAUGAACCAUGGGCACCACCAUAUCCCUGGGGACCUCAGAACCCUAAUAAUGAAACAUGGGCACCACUAUAUCCCUGGGGUCCUCAGAACCCUAAUGAUGAACCAUGGGCACCACCACAUCCCUCGGGACCUCAGAAUCAUGCUGACGUACCAUGGGCACCACCAUAUCCCUGGGGACCUCAGAAUCCUACUGACGUACCAUGGGCACCAGCAUAUCCCUGGGGACCUCAGAACCCUAAUAAUGAACCAUGGGCAACACCAUAUCCCUGGGGUCCUCAGAACCCUAAUUAUGAACCAUGGGCACCACCACAUCCCUCAGGACCUCAGAACCCUACUGACAUACCAUGGGCACCACCAUAUCCCUGGGGACCUCAGAACCCUAAUAAUGAACCAUGGGCACCACCAGCACUGGGUCCCUGACAAUUCAAGCUGCUCUGCGUUACACGCGGUCAAAUCGAUACUGCGAGCUGAUACUGGGGUGCGCUAGACCAGAGAUGACAGCAAUACUCUAUGUUUGGCCGGACCUGCGCUUUGAAGAUCGCUAGAAUGUGGCGGCUUGAAGUAUCCCUGGGGACAGCUUCCAUGGCCACCGACCAUCACCAUAGAUAAACCGACGAUAUGUUGCACCUAUGACACUGGCUUGAGUAAAGUAGUAUAUAGGAGUGGAGAAGAAAAAACUUUCACAGAUGACCAGAAGGAUGUUC
Molecule: RNA transcript, 1476 nt
Organism: Leptidea sinapis
Lineage: Eukaryota; Metazoa; Arthropoda; Insecta; Lepidoptera; Pieridae
Gene name: MAPK-interacting and spindle-stabilizing protein-like
Exons: 27
Source: RefSeq, a predicted model, not a curated record